UUGUUUUUUGGGAAAAGUCACAUAAUUUAAUUGUAUGAUAAAAGUUUAUUCUAUGUGACUCGAUUAAUGAAUAGAUAUAAGGAAAAUUAUAUGAGUUUAAAAUAAAAUAUUUUUCUUCAUUACCGUACCUUUUUCUUUUCCAGCAAGGAAUAGAAAUUAGUUCCUUUCUUGGUGGGAUUCUACUUCCCUUUCCUAUUUAGGUUUAUACAUGGUGUAUUUUCCUUGUAUAACUCCCA
This 236-nucleotide long non-coding RNA is filed under the name Capsicum annuum. RNAcentral describes it as "long non-coding RNA (CANN_LNC009713)". The record is from RNAcentral. Lineage: Eukaryota; Viridiplantae; Streptophyta; Magnoliopsida; Solanales; Solanaceae.